AGUGAACGCUGGCGGUAGGCCUAACACAUGCAAGUCGAACGGCAGCACAGUAAGAGCUGGCUCUUACGGGUGGCGAGUGGCGGACGGGUGAGGAAUACAUCGGAAUCUACUUUUUCGUGGGGGAUAACGUAGGGAAACUUACGCUAAUACCGCAUACGACCUACGGGUGAAAGCAGGGGAUCUUCGGACCUUGCGCGAUUGAAUGAGCCGAUGUCGGAUUAGCUAGUUGGCGGGGUAAAGGCCCACCAAGGCGACGAUCCGUAGCUGGUCUGAGAGGAUGAUCAGCCACACUGGAACUGAGACACGGUCCAGACUCCUACGGGAGGCAGCAGUGGGGAAUAUUGGACAAUGGGCGCAAGCCUGAUCCAGCCAUACCGCGUGGGUGAAGAAGGCCUUCGGGUUGUAAAGCCCUUUUGUUGGGAAAGAAAAGCAGAAGGUUAAUACCCCGCUGUUCUGACGGUACCCAAAGAAUAAGCACCGGCUAACUUCGUG
RNAcentral lists this ribosomal RNA (492 nucleotides) under uncultured bacterium. Its description in RNAcentral is "partial 16S ribosomal RNA". It matches the Rfam family "Bacterial small subunit ribosomal RNA", at positions 29 to 507 of the family's 1533-position model. The record is from RNAcentral.